This 271-nucleotide ribosomal RNA is filed under the name uncultured prokaryote. Its description in RNAcentral is "partial 16S ribosomal RNA". It matches the Rfam family "Bacterial small subunit ribosomal RNA", at positions 524 to 794 of the family's 1533-position model. The record is from RNAcentral.
CACGAACUGCGCAAACGUUAUUCGGAAUCACUGGGCUUAAAGAGUUCGUAGGCGGCGCGUUAAGUCGGGUGUGAAAUCCCUCGGCUCAACCGAGGAAUUGCGCCCGAAACUGGCGUGCUUGAGUAAGAUAGAGGUGAGCGGAACUGAUGGUGGAGCGGUGAAAUGCGUUGAUAUCAUCAGGAACACCGGUGGCGAAAGCGGCUCACUGGGUCUUAACUGACGCUGAGGAACGAAAGCUAGGGUAGCGAACGGGAUUAGAUACCCGUGUAGU